GAGUUUGAUCCUGGCUCAGAUUGAACGCUGGCGGCAGGCUUAACACAUGCAAGUCGAGCGGAAACGAUGGUAGCUUGCUACCAGGCGUCGAGCGGCGGACGGGUGAGUAAUACUUAGGAAUCUACCUAGUAGUGGGGGAUAGCACGGGGAAACUCGUAUUAAUACCGCAUACGACCUACGGGAGAAAGGGGGCAGUUUACUGCUCUCGCUAUUAGAUGAGCCUAAGUCGGAUUAGCUAGAUGGUGGGGUAAAGGCCUACCAUGGCGACGAUCUGUAGCUGGUCUGAGAGGAUGAUCAGCCACACCGGGACUGAGACACGGCCCGGACUCCUACGGGAGGCAGCAGUGGGGAAUAUUGGACAAUUGGGGAAACCCUGAUCCAGCCAUGCCGCGUGUGUGAAGAAGGCCUUUUGGUUGUAAAGCACUUUAAGCAGUGAAGAAGACUCUUCGGUUAAUACCCGGAGACGAUGACAUUAGCUGCAGAAUAAGCACCGGCUAACUCUGUGCCAGCAGCCGCGGUAAUACAGAGGGUGCAAGCGUUAAUCGGAAUUACUGGGCGUAAAGCGAGCGUAGGUGGCUUGAUAAGUCAGAUGUGAAAUCCCCGGGCUUAACCUGGGAACUGCAUCUGAAACUGUUAGGCUAGAGUAGGUGAGAGGGAAGUAGAAUUUCAGGUGUAGCGGUGAAAUGCGUAGAGAUCUGAAGGAAUACCGAUGGCGAAGG
RNAcentral lists this ribosomal RNA (719 nucleotides) under Psychrobacter sp. ARK-44b. Its description in RNAcentral is "bacterial SSU rRNA". It matches the Rfam family "Bacterial small subunit ribosomal RNA", at positions 9 to 721 of the family's 1533-position model. The record is from RNAcentral. Lineage: Bacteria; Pseudomonadati; Pseudomonadota; Gammaproteobacteria; Moraxellales; Moraxellaceae.